CACGGAGUUAGCCGAUCCUUAUUCCUUCGGUACAUUCAGCUAUCUACACGUAAAUAGGUUUAUUCCCGAAUAAAAGCAGUUUACGACCCAGAGGGCUGUCUUCCUGCACGCGGCAUGGCUGGUUCAGAGUUGCCUCCAUUGACCAAUAUUCCUUACUGCUGCCUCCCGUAGGAGUCUGGUCCGUGUCUCAGUACCAGUGUGGGGGGUUCAUCCUCUCAGAUCCCCUAGUCAUCGUCGCCUUGGUGGGCCGUUACCCCGCCAACUAGCUAAUGACACGCAUGCCCAUCUUAAUCCCUAUAAAUAUUUGAACAUUGGAUAAUGCUAUCCUGUGUUUUUAUGCGGUGUUAAUCCGAAUUUCUUCGGGCUAUCCCCCUGAUUAAGGUAGGUUGCAUACGCGUUACGCACCCGUGCGCCACUUUUCGUCGGAGCAAGCCCCGACUAUCGUUCGACUUGCAUGUAUUAGGCCUGCCGCUAGCGUUCACCCGUGAGCCAGGAUCAAACUC
This 503-nucleotide ribosomal RNA is filed under the name uncultured Pedobacter sp. Its description in RNAcentral is "partial 16S ribosomal RNA". The record is from RNAcentral. Lineage: Bacteria; Pseudomonadati; Bacteroidota; Sphingobacteriia; Sphingobacteriales; Sphingobacteriaceae.